CUGACUUGGUACAGGCGUGAUUUGGCCACUGGAACCGCCUUAAUGUGCAGUUCAUUUAUGUAACCCCACAGGCUAGACCACCUGGAGCUCUUAUGCGACCUUAUGGACUCAGGCCCAGGUGGGCUAGCUGGCUGGGAAAGGAGGCACUCAGAGGUCAAGACCAAAUGACUUCAGACAUCAUCCCCAGUGGUGGCAAAAUGAAAACACAACACUGGAAGAUUGUAUAAAAAAUAAAGCCUACUAUGGGAAAAAACGGAACAUUAGGUAUAGCAUGUGUCUCCUUCCAUAGCUGAGAAUGACCUAAAUGCCUGACAC
RNAcentral lists this long non-coding RNA (315 nucleotides) under Chinchilla lanigera (long-tailed chinchilla). RNAcentral's name for it is "lncRNA (ENSCLAG00000027337.1)". Lineage: Eukaryota; Metazoa; Chordata; Mammalia; Rodentia; Chinchillidae. The record is from RNAcentral.